AGUGAACGCUGGCGGCAGGCCUAACACAUGCAAGUCGAACGGCAGCACGGCAGUAGCAAUACUGUGGGUGGCGAGUGGCGGACGGGUGAGGAAUACAUCGGGAUCUACCCUGUUGUGGGGGAUAACGUAGGGAAACUUACGCUAAUACCGCAUAAGAACUGAGGUUGAAAGCGGCGGACCGCAAGGCGUCGCGCGAUUGGAUGAACCGAUGUCCGAUUAGCUAGUUGGCGGGGUAAAGGCCCACCAAGGCGACGAUCGGUAGCUGGUCUGAGAGGACGACCAGCCACACUGGAACUGAGACACGGUCCAGACUCCUACGGGAGGCAGCAGUGGGGAAUAUUGGACAAUGGGCGAAAGCCUGAUCCAGCAACGCCGCGUGAGUGAUGAAGGCCUUAGGGUUGUAAAGCUCUUUUACCAGGGAUGAUAAUGACAGUACCUGGAGAAUAAGCUCCGGCUAACUCCGUGCCAGCAGCCGCGGUAAUGUACAGUGUCC
Molecule: ribosomal RNA, 493 nt
Filed under: uncultured bacterium
Lineage: Bacteria
Description: bacterial SSU rRNA
Rfam family: Bacterial small subunit ribosomal RNA
Source: RNAcentral